GACGAACGCUGGCGGCGUGCUUAACACAUGCAAGUCGAACGGAAAGGCCCUGCUUUUGUGGGGUGCUCGAGUGGCGAACGGGUGAGUAACACGUGAGUAACCUGCCCUUGACUUUGGGAUAACUUCAGGAAACUGGGGCUAAUACCGGAUAGGAGCUCCUGCUGCAUGGUGGGGGUUGGAAAGUUUCGGCGGUUGGGGAUGGACUCGCGGCUUAUCAGCUUGUUGGUGGGGUAGUGGCUUACCAAGGCUUUGACGGGUAGCCGGCCUGAGAGGGUGACCGGCCACAUUGGGACUGAGAUACGGCCCAGACUCCUACGGGAGGCAGCAGUGGGGAAUAUUGCACAAUGGGCGGAAGCCAGAUGCUGCAACGCCGCGUGCGGGAUGACGGCCUUCGGGUUGUAAACCGCUUUCGCCUGUGACGAAGCGUGAGUGACGGUAAUGGGUAAAGAAGCACCGGCUAACUACGUG
Molecule: ribosomal RNA, 468 nt
Filed under: uncultured bacterium
Lineage: Bacteria
Description: partial 16S ribosomal RNA
Rfam family: Bacterial small subunit ribosomal RNA
Source: RNAcentral